Molecule: ribosomal RNA, 253 nt
Filed under: uncultured bacterium
Lineage: Bacteria
Description: partial 16S ribosomal RNA
Rfam family: Bacterial small subunit ribosomal RNA
Source: RNAcentral
UACGUAGGGGGCAAGCGUUGUCCGGAAUCAUUGGGCGUAAAGCGCGUGUAGGCGGCUCGAUAAGUCUGCUGUGAAAGUCCAGGGCUCAACCCUGGGAUGCCGGUGGAUACUGUCAAGCUCGAGUCCGGAAGAGGCGAGUGGAAUUCCUGGUGUAGCGGUGAAAUGCGCAGAUAUCAGGAGGAACACCGAUGGCGAAGGCAGCUCGCUGGGACGGUACUGACGCUGAGACGCGAAAGCGUGGGGAGCGAACAGG